GAUGAACGCUGGCGGCGUGCCUAAUACAUGCAAGUCGAGCGAACAGAUAAGGAGCUUGCUCCUUUGACGUUAGCGGCGGACGGGUGAGUAACACGUGGGUAACCUACCUAUAAGACUGGGAUAACUUCGGGAAACCGGAGCUAAUACCGGAUAAUAUUUCGAACCGCAUGGUUCGAUAGUGAAAGAUGGUUUUGCUAUCACUUAUAGAUGGACCCGCGCCGUAUUAGCUAGUUGGUAAGGUAACGGCUUACCAAGGCGACGAUACGUAGCCGACCUGAGAGGGUGAUCGGCCACACUGGAACUGAGACACGGUCCAGACUCCUACGGGAGGCAGCAGUAGGGAAUCUUCCGCAAUGGGCGAAAGCCUGACGGAGCAACGCCGCGUGAGUGAUGAAGGUCUUCGGAUCGUAAAACUCUGUUAUUAGGGAAGAACAUACGUGUAAGUAACCGUGCACGUCUUGACGGUACCUAAUCAGAAAGCCACGGCUAACUACGUG
RNAcentral lists this ribosomal RNA (497 nucleotides) under uncultured bacterium. RNAcentral's name for it is "partial 16S ribosomal RNA". It matches the Rfam family "Bacterial small subunit ribosomal RNA", at positions 28 to 507 of the family's 1533-position model. The record is from RNAcentral.